AUAGCGUAUAUUAAAGUUGUUGCAGUUAAAAAGCUCGUAGUUGAAUUUUAGCCCUGGCUGGGCGGUCCGGCCUUUCGGUCGGUACUGCUUUGGCCGGGGUUCACCUUCUGGUGAGCCAGCAUGCCCUUCACUGGGUGUGUUGGGGAACCAGGACUUUUACUUUGAAAAAAUUAGAGUGUUUAAAGCAGGCAUACGCUUGAAUACAUUAGCAUGGAAUAAUGGAAUAGGACUUUGGUUCUAUUUUGUUGGUUUCUAGGACCGAGGUAAUGAUUAAUAGGGAUAGUUGGGGGCAUUAGUAUUUAAUUGUCAGAGGUGAAAUUCUUGGAUUUAUGAAAGACUAACUUCUG
Molecule: ribosomal RNA, 347 nt
Filed under: Jimgerdemannia lactiflua
Lineage: Eukaryota; Fungi; Mucoromycota; Endogonomycetes; Endogonales; Endogonaceae
Description: SSU rRNA
Rfam family: Eukaryotic small subunit ribosomal RNA
Source: RNAcentral